Mustela erminea (ermine) is the source of this 2348-nucleotide long non-coding RNA. RefSeq lists it as uncharacterized. The transcript has 3 exons. The record is from RefSeq and is a predicted model, not a curated record. Lineage: Eukaryota; Metazoa; Chordata; Mammalia; Carnivora; Mustelidae.
GCCAGCCGGGCUCGGCGGCCUGUGGGUCUCCCUGGCCAAGCGUCGAAUUCCUGGCUCUGGAAAUGUCCCCAGCGAGUCCCCUAUUGUUCAGCCUCUGGGAAUCCCAUGCUUUGCGGGGGACAAAGCCAGUUUAUCGUCUGAGCCUGUGACCCCAGUGUCAGUGACGGAGACCCAAGGCCAGGUUGCUCCUCCCGGAGACCGACUCCAGGAGCAGAAACGCACGGGGGCGCCCCGGGACAUCCUCCAGCGCGUCCGGGGGUGUGUGUGCUCGGGCACUAGCAUCUGAGCCCGGGGGUGCAUGCUUCUCAUCCCAGCCCGUGCAACACGGGAGCCGUGUGGGUCCAGCUCCUUCAAAAGGGGGCUCUGGACACGUGGUCACGUCCUCUCCUCCUGCCACAACGUGGACCUGGUGUGACGAUGGCGUCUCCCUGUCCCUGGCCUCAGGCUAAAGCUCAUAAAGAACCAGUUUGGGAACAAAGCUGUGGGGUAAACAGUGAGGCCUCCGGGUGGUGUUCACACCAAGGGUUUGGGGGUGCGUUAGCUGUCCUCGGCGCCCUGAGGGAGCUGCCCACGCUCAAGGCGUCCUCCUCUGGCCCAGCACCCUUACGGAGUCCCCAUGUGUUCUUCUGCUUUGAGACAUGAUGUUUUCUAACCUUUCCACCGAAGGGAAAGUGGCCUGGGCAUUCCCAUGUCAAGAAAAACCUGUCUUCAAUAUGCACGCCGUCGUGUGACUGUGCCAGACUCAACCCGAGCUCCUCCCUCUUGUGGGGUCUUUGGGUAGAACUACAUAUUGUCCUCGAGCAAGGCUCUUUGGUGGCCAACACGGGGACGUGACGGUCCGGAGGAGGCUGUCCUGAGUUACCCAACGUGCAGUACCUUUCAUGCUGUGCAUGAGCCGGUCUGGUCUGACGCUGCUCACGAUGUAGGUCAGGGGAGCGUUGCCGGGAUAACUGGAAUUUCACUGCUUUUAUGAAGAUCAAUGACGCUGACCUUGACAAAGGAUCCCUCCCUGAGUGAGUGAUAAGACAGCGUGUGGCGGCUGGCCAGACACGCGGGCUGGUGGCUGGACGACAUUCCCGGGUCCAGUCACCGUGAGACUUACUCAGGGGAGGAGGACAAGGGACGGGGUGUCGGGACACCUGACUCCUGGGGAGGAGGCUGUGGGGACGGAGAGCUGCGGUCGGAGGGUUUGACCUGGGGGGGGCGCACUUCCGGGAGAGGUCGGAGGGACAGGCUCUUCCUGAUUUCUUGUCAGGACAGGAUCAGAGCCUGGGGGGGGCAGCUGUCCACUGGGGGGCCCCGUCUCCCUGCUCUCCAGCGGUAGGACCAGCGCUUUAACGGUUGAAAUGGAGACAUAGCUGACACAUAGCCCCGUAUCAGUUUUAGACGUACCACAUAAUGAAGGGAUCACGUAUCUUUUGGAAAGUGAUCACCGCAACGAGUUAAUGUCGGUCCCCGAGCUAGUCCCAGUCCCCGUGCUAGUCCUAGCCCCCCGUCAGGUGUACAGUGUUGUUAACUGGAGGCCCCGUGCUGUACGGGCGUCCCCAGGACUUGUCUUCUAACUGGGAGUUUCAUCUUCGAACUUUCUGAGGCCUCCACCCAUCCCUCCUCAGUGUCCCUCUGUGCUCGGUGGCCGGCUGGGAGCAGCACCAGACCCCCGGACCAGCCCGGCGGGGUGGCGGACGGCUCCGGAGCGUGGCCCGGGGCUCUGUGAUUAGGUUCCUGUAGCUGGAGGUGUGUGAACCCCCAUACUUGCUCUUCAGGACAUACCCCACAUCCCCCCGCGGAGUGCCCAGGCUUCCCACCACACAGGGGUGCCCCAGGGACCCCCGCCCUGGCUCCACAUCACCGGUCACUUUCCUCAGCUCUAAUUGAGGGUUUAAUCGAAGUCCUUUGGUUGAAAAGAACCUACACUCUCCCUGGGUGGUGCGAGCAGAUAGUUGGGCUUGAGGAAAGGAAUUCCCUAGGAACCGAGGGCGUGAAGCCUCGUCUCCGUCUCUCUGCGUCUCUUGCUUUGUCUCCUAUUUCUGUGUCUCUGUCUCUGCUCUCCUCUGUGUCUCUGACUCCCUCCGAGCCCUGCAGACCUGCUCCCCCUGCUUGGCUAUGACCGGCUACGUGGUGGCUGUCUAGCACGGGGUCCUCAAGCUGGAGCCACCCACCCCCUCCCACAAUCUUCCAGGCAGUGCCCAGCAUGCCAGGCCAGGAGGCACAGCCUGCUGCGGAAAGCAGUGGUCAAUUCUGAAACCCCUUUAUCAACCCGCCCCAGAUAACAUUACUCUGAUUCGUUUUGUAGCCGAUAAGUAUUGGCGGCUCCUUCUGUUUCAGAAACUCCACCCCCCCCCCCAAAA